AAACCAACAGGGAUUGCCUUAGUAGCGGCGAGUGAAGCGGCAAAAGCUCAAAUUUGAAAUCUGGCACUUUCAGUGUCCGAGUUGUAAUUUGAAGAAGGUAUCUUUGGGUCUGGCUCUUGUCUAUGUUUCUUGGAACAGAACGUCACAGAGGGUGAGAAUCCCGUGCGAUGAGAUGUCCCAGACCUAUGUAAAGUUCCUUCGAAGAGUCGAGUUGUUUGGGAAUGCAGCUCUAAGUGGGUGGUAAAUUCCAUCUAAAGCUAAAUAUUGGCGAGAGACCGAUAGCGAACAAGUACAGUGAUGGAAAGAUGAAAAGAACUUUGAAAAGAGAGUGAAAAAGUACGUGAAAUUGUUGAAAGGGAAGGGCUUGAGAUCAGACUUGGUAUUUUGUAUGUUACUCUCUCGGGGGUGGCCUCUACAGUUUACCGGGCCAGCAUCAGUUUGAGCGGUAGGAUAAGUGCAAAGAAAUGUGGCACUGCUUCGGUAGUGUGUUAUAGUCU
Molecule: ribosomal RNA, 497 nt
Filed under: Lodderomyces parapsilosis
Lineage: Eukaryota; Fungi; Ascomycota; Pichiomycetes; Serinales; Debaryomycetaceae
Description: eukaryotic LSU rRNA
Rfam family: Eukaryotic large subunit ribosomal RNA
Source: RNAcentral